Molecule: ribosomal RNA, 385 nt
Filed under: uncultured bacterium
Lineage: Bacteria
Description: bacterial SSU rRNA
Rfam family: Bacterial small subunit ribosomal RNA
Source: RNAcentral
GUAGUCCACGCCCUAAACGAUGUCAACUAGUUGUCGGGUCUUAAUUGACUUGGUAACGCAGCUAACGCGUGAAGUUGACCGCCUGGGGAGUACGGUCGCAAGAUUAAAACUCAAAGGAAUUGACGGGGACCCGCACAAGCGGUGGAUGAUGUGGAUUAAUUCGAUGCAACGCGAAAAACCUUACCUACCCUUGACAUGGCAGGAAUCCCUGAGAGAUCAGGGAGUGCUCGAAAGAGAACCUGCACACAGGUGCUGCAUGGCUGUCGUCAGCUCGUGUCGUGAGAUGUUGGGUUAAGUCCCGCAACGAGCGCAACCCUUGUCAUUAGUUGCUACCUGCGUCUUCGGAUGCAGCGCACUCUAAAGAGACUGCCGCUGAUAAAGCGGA